This 468-nucleotide ribosomal RNA is filed under the name uncultured bacterium. RNAcentral's name for it is "partial 16S ribosomal RNA". It matches the Rfam family "Bacterial small subunit ribosomal RNA", at positions 28 to 507 of the family's 1533-position model. The record is from RNAcentral.
GACGAACGCUGGCGGCGUGCUUAACACAUGCGAGUCGAACGGAAAGACCCUGCUUUUGUGGGGUGCUCGAUUGGCGAACGGGGGAGUAACACGUGUGUAACCUGCCCUUGACUUUGGGAGAACUUCAGGAAACUGGGGCUAAUACAGGAGAGAAGCUCCUGCUGCAUGGGGGGGGUUAGAAAGUUUCGGCGGUUGUGGCUAGGCUGGCGGCUUAUCAGCUUGUUGGUGGGGUAGUUGCUUACCAAGUCUUUGACGGGUAGCCCGCCUUGGAGGUUGGACGGCCACCAGGCGCCUGCGGGACGGACCAGACUCCUACCGGACGCAACAGUGGGGAACCUUACACAGUGGGCCGGAGCCUGUUGCAGCAACGCUCCGUGCGGAAUGACCGCUUUCGGGUUGUAAACCGCUUUCGACUGUGCUGAAGAGUGCGUGACGGUAAUGGGUAAAGAAGCACCGGCUAACUACGUG